UACGGAGGGUGCAAGCGUUAUCCGGAUUUAUUGGGUUUAAAGGGUGCGUAGGUGGAACUUUAAGUCAGUGGUGAAAGUCUGCAGCUCAACUGUAGAAUUGCCAUUGAAACUGAAGUUCUUGAGUAUGUUCGAAGUAUGCGGAAUGUGUUGUGUAGCGGUGAAAUGCAUAGAUAUGACACAGAACACCGAUAGCGAAGGCAGCGUACUAGGGCAUUACUGACACUGAUGCACGAAAGCGUGGGGAGCGAACAGG
Molecule: ribosomal RNA, 253 nt
Filed under: uncultured bacterium
Lineage: Bacteria
Description: partial 16S ribosomal RNA
Rfam family: Bacterial small subunit ribosomal RNA
Source: RNAcentral